GAAUUCCGUGUGAAUCAGCGAGGACCACCUCGUAAGGCUAAGUACUCCUGUGUGACCGAUAGCGAAACAGUACCGCGAGGGAAAGGUGAAAAGAACCCCGGGAGGGGAGUGAAAUAGAACAUGAAACCGUGAGCCUACAAGCAAUGGGAGCCCUACUCAUAGGGUGACCGUGUGCCUGUUGAAGAAUGAGCCGGCGACUUAUAGGCACUGGCGGGUUAAACCGGAAAUGGUGGAGCCAUAGCGAAAGCGAGUCUGAAUAGGGCGUUUGUCAGUGUUUAUAGACCCGAACCCGGGUGAUCUAACCAUGGCCAGGAUGAAGCUUGGGUGAUACCAAGUGGAGGUCCGAACCGACUGACGUUGAAAAGUCAGCGGAUGAGCUGUGGUUAGGGGUGAAAUGCCAAUCGAACCCGGAGCUAGCUGGUUCUCCCCGAAAUACGUUGAGGCGUAGCGUCUCGUGCUCCAGCAGGGGGGUAAAGCCACCAUUUCGGUGCGGGCUGCGAGAGCGGUACCAAAUCGAGAUGAACUCUGAAUACCCUGUGUGUAGCGAGGCAGUCAGACUGUGGGGGAUAAGCUCCAUGGUCGAGAGGGAAACAGCCCAGACCGCCAGCUAAGGUCCCCAAAUCAACACUAAGUGAUAAAGGAGGUGGGAUUGCCCAGACAACCAGGAGGUUUGCCUAGAAGCAGCCAUCCUCAAAGGAGUGCGUAAUAGCUCACUGGUCGAGCGAUCCUGCGCCGAAAAUGAAUGGGGCUAAGUGUUGUACCGAAGCUGCGGAUUUAUGGUAGGGGAGCGUUCUAUGUGGGGCGAAGCGUUAGCGUGAGCGGGCGUGGACUGCAUAGAAGUGAGAAUGUCGGCUUGAGUAGCGAAAACAUGGGUGAGAAUCCCAUGCACCGAAACCCUAAGGGUUCCUCCGGCAGGCUCGUCCGCGGAGGGUUAGUCUGGACCUAAGGCGAGGCCGAAAGGCGUAGUCGAUGGAUAACAGGUCAACAUUCCUGUACCGGUUAUGUUUUGGGAAGAGGGACGGAGAAGGCUAGCCAAGCCAGAUGUUGGUUACUGGUUCAAGCGUUCGAGGCGUUGAGGAUCGGCGAAAACGAUCCGAGCUGAGGCGUGAGUACGAGCUGCUACGGCAGCGAAGUUGGUGAUGUCAUGCUUCCAAGAAAAGCUCUAUACCCGUUAAGGCAUAACUGCCAGUACCCGAAACCGACACAGGUGGGGUGGUAGAGAAUACCGAGGUGCGCGAGGUAACUCUCUCUAAGGAACUCGGCAAAAUGGCCCCGUAACUUCGGGAGAAGGGGUGCCACAGCAAUGUGGUCGCAGUGAAGAGGCCCUGGCGACUGUUUACCAAAAACACAGGUCUCCGCUAAGUCGCAAGACGAUGUAUGGGGGCUGACGCCUGCCCAGUGCCGGAAGGUUAAGGAAGCCGGUCAGCGUAAGCGAAGCUGGCGACUGAAGCCCCGGUGAACGGCGGCCGUAACUAUAACGGUCCUAAGGUAGCGAAAUUCCUUGUCGGGUAAGUUCCGACCCGCACGAAAGGCGUAACGAUCAGGGCGCUGUCUCGGAGAGAGGCUCGGCGAAAUAGAAUUGUCUGUGAAGAUGCGGACUACAUACACCCGGACAGAAAGACCCUAUGAAGCUUUACUGUAGCUUGGUAUUGUGCCCGGGCUCUGAAUGCGCAGGAUAGGUGGGAGACGUUGAUCUAGUGCUCGUGGGUACUAGGGAGUCAAUGGUGAGAUACCACUCUUUCAGAGCUAGGGUUCUAACGUUCACCCGUUAUCCGGGGAGCGGACAGUAUCAGGUGGGCAGUUUGACUGGGGCGGUCGCCUCCUAAAAGGUAACGGAGGCGCGCAAAGGUUUCCUCAGGCUGGUUGGAAAUCAGCCGACGAGUGCAAAAGCAGAAGGAAGCUUGACUGUGAGACCUACAAGUCGAACAGGGACGAAAGUCGGCUUUAGUGAUCCGACGGUUCUGAGUGGAAGGGCCGUCGCUCAACGGAUAAAAGUUACUCUAGGAUAACAGGCUGAUCUCCCCCAAGAGUUCACAUCGACGGGGAGGUUUGGCACCUCGAUGUCGGCUCAUCGCAACCUGGGGCUGAAGUCGGUCCCAAGGGUUGGGCUGUUCGCCCAUUAAAGCGGUACGCGAGCUGGGUUCAGAACGUCGUGAGACAGUUCGGUC
Molecule: ribosomal RNA, 2168 nt
Filed under: seawater metagenome
Description: bacterial LSU rRNA
Rfam family: Bacterial large subunit ribosomal RNA
Source: RNAcentral